Choloepus didactylus (southern two-toed sloth) is the source of this 686-nucleotide long non-coding RNA. RefSeq lists it as uncharacterized. The record is from RefSeq and is a predicted model, not a curated record. The transcript has 4 exons. Lineage: Eukaryota; Metazoa; Chordata; Mammalia; Pilosa; Megalonychidae.
UAAACACUGUUUAGCAAACUCCAAAUUCUGCAACCAGACAUAGAAGGCAUUUCAUACACUUAAGCAGAGCUGCUGCACAAUGAAUAUGUCCUGCUUCUGAGAAUCAAACCGUCCUUUUGCUAAGGAAGAAAAUAAGCUGGGAUGAAUACUGUCAUAUCCUCUUCUUGAAGAAAGCUCUCAAUACAAGGGACUGGCCACCAUGUUGGAAAGGGAGAAUAAGGAUGUAAAUGAAGGUGGAAAAGGAAGAAUCGUUACAGGUAGAUCUCUCCAUAAGAUCCACCUCGUCUGAGAGCAGAGAAUCUCCUCAUAUCUUUCUUCACUGAGGGAGCGAAAACAUUCAAUGAGAAUUCUAGAAUGCCUUACUUUUUCCUGCCUUCUAAGGAGCAUGAAUUGGAAGAAGUUCUCUAAUUUGACUGAGAUGAGGUCCUAAAUGCCAUCACAUCUAUCCUUAUAAUAAGAAGGCAGAGGGAGUUUUGAGAAAGAAGAGGAGGAGACCAUGGGACCAUGGAGGCAGAGAUUGGAGGCAUGAAGCCAUAAGCCAAGAAACAGCUGCAACCACCAGAAGCUGGAAGAAGCACAGAGUGAAUUCUCUCCUAGAGUCUUUGGAGGAUGAGGAGCCCUGAAAACAUCUUGAUUUCUGACUUCUCUAAAACUGUAAAAGAAUAAAUUUCUGUUGUUUCAGGCUA